GCUUAGCUCAGUUGGUAAGAGUGUGGUGCUAAUAACGCCAAGGUUAUGGGUUCAAUCCCCAUAUGGGCCU
Molecule: non-coding RNA, 70 nt
Organism: Pseudopipra pipra
Lineage: Eukaryota; Metazoa; Chordata; Aves; Passeriformes; Pipridae
Source: the annotation of a RefSeq genome assembly